AUGGCGGUGGUGAGGAUGGGGCCCAAGGAGCACGGUCGGGAGGCGGUUCUCGAUGCUAUGAUCACUCCUAGUAUCUCCUACACACAGCUUCGUCGGAUCGACCCGAGCCCGAGCCAGCGCACGAGCCAGCCAGUGACUAGUACACAGUACCUCUUUCAGGAGCAACAAUCUGCCUACAUGGAGUACACACGCCAGGAGACCAUGGCGUGGCAUCAGAGGCUUUAUGAACACCAAGUGCAGAGGGAUAGCCAGAUGCAGCAGGCUUUUCAGGAUAUGGUGGCCGGCAGGUGUCCUCAGUUCCCUCCAGCACAAUGCCCUCCAGCACAACCAGUGCUGAUGAGCUUUGAGGAGUUUGUGGCACAGAACGCAGGCCCCUCGCCGGGAACAGGUGGAUCUACCGUUGGCGGUGGUCUUCGCAGCACUCCAGAGACACGAAGCCCGACCACUCCGAUCCACGGAGGCGGAGGCGGAGGAGGAGGCGGUCUUGGCGGUAGCGCUGCCGCUAGCAGUGACGACCUGGGCUUCGGCGGUCUUGGCGGUGACGACCUCCGUGGUGCUCGACGUCCUGGCGCUUAA
This 576-nucleotide ribosomal RNA is filed under the name Triticum aestivum (bread wheat). RNAcentral's name for it is "partial small subunit ribosomal RNA". Lineage: Eukaryota; Viridiplantae; Streptophyta; Magnoliopsida; Poales; Poaceae. The record is from RNAcentral.